CCUACGGGGGGCAGCAGUGAGGAAUAUUGGUCAAUGGCCGGAAGGCUGAACCAGCCAUGCCGCGUGAAUGUCAGUGCCCUAUGGGCGUUAAACUUCUUUUGUGCGGGAGCAAUAAUGGUCACGUGUGGCCAGACGAGAGUACCGUACGAAUAAGCAUCGGCUAACUCCGUGCCAGCAGCCGCGGUAAUACGGGGGAUGCAAGCGUUAUCCCGAUUUAUUGGGUUUAAAGGGUGCGUAGGCUGUGAGGUAAGUCAGCGUUGAAAUGCCCCCGCUCAACGGGGUGAAGUGCACUUGAUACUGCCUGGCUGGAAUGCGGAUGCCGUGGGAGGAAUGUGUGGUGUAGCGGUGAAAUGCAUAGAUAUCACACAGAACACCGAUUGCGAAGGCAUCUCACGAAUCCGCGAUUGACGCUGAUGCACGAAAGCGUGGGUAGCAAACAGGAUUAGAUACCCGAGUAGUC
RNAcentral lists this ribosomal RNA (460 nucleotides) under uncultured bacterium. Its description in RNAcentral is "partial 16S ribosomal RNA". It matches the Rfam family "Bacterial small subunit ribosomal RNA", at positions 338 to 795 of the family's 1533-position model. The record is from RNAcentral.